RNAcentral lists this non-coding RNA (72 nucleotides) under endosymbiont of Ridgeia piscesae. Lineage: Bacteria; Pseudomonadati; Pseudomonadota; Gammaproteobacteria. The record is from RNAcentral.
AACCGCCGUAUACGGAACCGUACGUACGAUGGUGUGAGAGGAGGGCGGGAGCGAUCUCGCUUCCUACUUGAU